CGCGCUAUCUGCAGUCGAGGGGCAGCAUGACUGUAGCAAUACAGUUGAUGGCGACCGGCAAACGGGUGCGGAACACGUACAGAACCUUCCUUCGAGCGGGGAAUAGCCCAGAGAAAUUUGGAUUAAUACCCCAUAGUAUUAUGGAGUGGCAUCACUUUAUAAUUAAAGAUUUAUCACUUGAAGAUGGCUGUGCGGCUGAUUAGGUAGUUGGCGGGGUAACGGCCCACCAAGCCUGCGAUCAGUAACUGGUGUGAGAGCACGACCAGUCACACGGGCACUGAGACACGGGCCCGACUCCUACGGGAGGCAGCAGUAAGGAAUAUUGGUCAAUGGACGAAAGUCUGAACCAGCCAUGCCGCGUGGAGGAUGAAGGUCCUCUGGAUUGUAAACUUCUUUUAUAUGGGACGAAAAAAGGCUUUUCUAAGUCGUCUGACGGUACCAUAUGAAUAAGCACCGGCUAACUCCGUGCCAGCAGCCGCGGUAAUACGGAGGGUGCAAGCGUUAUCCGGAUUCACUGGGUUUAAAGGGUGCGUAGGUGGGUUGGUAAGUCAGUGGUGAAAUCUCCGAGCUUAACUUGGAAACUGCCAUUGAUACUAUCAGUCUUGAAUAUUGUGGAGGUCAGCGGAAUAUGUCAUGUAGCGGUGAAAUGCUUAGAUAUGACAUAGAACACCAAUUGCGAAGGCAGCUGGCUACGCAUAUAUUGACACUGAGGCACGAAAGCGUGGGGAUCAAACAGGAUUAGAUACCCUGGUAGUCCACGCCCUAAACUAUGGAUACUCGACAUACGCGAUACACUGUGUGUGUCUGAGCGAAAAGCAUUAAGUAUCCCACCUGGGAAGUACGAUCGCAA
This 850-nucleotide ribosomal RNA is filed under the name uncultured bacterium. RNAcentral describes it as "bacterial SSU rRNA". It matches the Rfam family "Bacterial small subunit ribosomal RNA", at positions 47 to 891 of the family's 1533-position model. The record is from RNAcentral.